This 534-nucleotide ribosomal RNA is filed under the name uncultured bacterium. Its description in RNAcentral is "bacterial SSU rRNA". It matches the Rfam family "Bacterial small subunit ribosomal RNA", at positions 358 to 875 of the family's 1533-position model. The record is from RNAcentral.
GGACUAUUGGACAUAGGGGGCAACCCUCGAGGUACCAGGCCAUGCCGCGUGUGUGAAGAAGGCCUUUUGGUUGUAAAGCACUUUAAGCAGUGAAGAAGACUCCAUGGUUAAUACCCAUGGACGAUGACAUUAGCUGCAGAAUAAGCACCGGCUAACUCUGUGCCAGCAGCCGCGGUAAUACAGAGGGUGCAAGCGUUAAUCGGAAUUACUGGGCGUAAAGCGAGCGUAGGUGGCUUGAUAAGUCAGAUGUGAAAGCCCCGGGCUUAACCUGGGAACGGCAUCUGAUACUGUUAGGCUAGAGUAGGUGAGAGGAAGGUAGAAUUCCAGGUGUAGCGGUGAAAUGCGUAGAGAUCUGGAGGAAUACCGGAUGGCGAAGGCAGCCUUCUGGCAUCAUACUGACACUGAGGUUCGAAAGCGUGGGUAGCAAACAGGAUUAGAUACCCGUGGUAGUCCAACGCCGUAAACGAUGUCUACUAGUCGUUGGGUCCCUUGAGGACUUUAGCGACGCAGCUAACGCAAUAACGGUAGACCCGG